Non-coding RNA from Pelobates cultripes (western spadefoot toad), 204 nucleotides. NCBI's taxonomy places the organism in Eukaryota, Metazoa, Chordata, Amphibia, Anura, Pelobatidae. The record is from the annotation of a GenBank genome assembly.
GCUGACCACGGGGGUCAGAGAGUGGGUCCGUGAGCGGAAACCCCUCACCCUGCCUGAAGCAGUUCGCCUGGUGGACGAGUACACCGACGCCCGCAAGCUAGAUACCCUGGGGGCCAAGACAACAUCCCGUAUGGACUACAGACCAGUGACACCUCCUCUAGCUGCCACGCCACAGUCAUACCGUUCCACAGCACCAGCUUCCAC